Molecule: ribosomal RNA, 1139 nt
Filed under: uncultured organism
Description: bacterial SSU rRNA
Rfam family: Bacterial small subunit ribosomal RNA
Source: RNAcentral
GCACAUGAGCUGCCUGCCUCCUAUCAGCUUGUUGGUGAUGUAAAGCUCACCAAUUGCACGACUGGUAGCGGGACUGAGAGGUUACCCUGCCACAUCGUGACUGAUACACUGNCCUGGACCCCCAGGUGGUUCUUCNUUAUCGAAUCUUCCGCGAUGGGCGAAAUGCCUGAUUANCGACGCCGCGUGCGUGAAGAAGUCCUUCGUGAUGUAAACCGCUGUCAGUGACAAGAAACUCCCGGUUCGCCGUGAUUGAUCACCCCUGAUGAAGUCACGGCUAGCUUCGUGCCAGCAGCCGCGGUAAGACGAAUGUGGCUAGCGUUGUUCGGUAUCACUCGGCUUAAACGGUAUGUAGGCGGAAUGGAAAGCGUCGUGUGAAAGCCCUCGGCUUAACCGAGGAAUUGCUCGGCGAACUGCCAUUCUUGAGGCAAACAGGGGUGCGCGGAACUCUUGGUGGAGCGGUGGAAUGCGUAGAUAUCAAGAGGAACGCCGGUGGCGAAAGCGGCGCACUAGGUUUGCACUGACGCUGAAGUACGAAAGCGUGGGGAGCGAACGGGAUUAGAUACCCCGGUAGUCCACGCCGUAAACGAUGUGUACUAGGCUGUGGUAGUUCUGACACUUUCACGGCCGAAGCAAAAGCGUUAAGUACACCGCCUGGGGACUACGGUCGCAAGGCUAAAACUCAAAGGAAUUGACGGGGGCUCACACAAGCGGUGGAGCAUGUGGAUUAAUUCGAAGCGACGCGCAGAACCUUACCUGGGUUUGACAUGCAUGUAUGGCUUCCUGGAAACAGGAUAGUCUGCCCUUCGGGGUGAACUUGCACAGGUGCUGCAUGGCUGUCGUCAGCUCGUGUCGUGAGAUGUUGGGUUAAGUCCCUCAACGAGCGAAACCCCUGCCGUUAGUUGCCAUCGGGUAAUGCCGGGGACUCUAACGGGACUGCCGGUGUCAAACCGGAGCCCGCUGGGGAUCACGUCAAGUCAUCAUGGCCUUUAUGCCCAGGGCUUCACACGUGCUACAAUGGCGACCACAAAGCGAAGCGAAACCGCGAGGUCGGGCAAAUCGCAGAAAGGUCGUCCCAGUACGGAUUGCAGGCUGACAACUCGCCUGCAUGAAGGUGGAAUCGCUAGUAAUCGCGCAUCAGC